Molecule: ribosomal RNA, 330 nt
Filed under: uncultured eukaryote
Lineage: Eukaryota
Description: partial 18S ribosomal RNA
Rfam family: Eukaryotic small subunit ribosomal RNA
Source: RNAcentral
CCCUUAGAUGUUCGGGGCCGCCCGCGCGCUACACUGAAGGAAUCAGCACGUCUUUCUCCUUGUCCGAAAGGACUGGGUAACCCGCUGAACCUCCUUCGUGCUAGGGAUUGGGGCUUGUAAUUCUUCCCCAUGAACGAGGAAUUCCCAGUAAGCGCGAGUCAUAAGCUCGCGUUGAUUACGUCCCUGCCCUUUGUACACACCGCCCGUCGCUACUACCGAUUGGAUGGUUUAGUGAGAUCCUCGGAUUGGUCCCGGCGCGGCCUCUGGUCGUGCCGGAGUGCCGAAAAGAAUGUCGAACUUGAUCAUCUAGAGGAAGUAAAAGUCGUAACA